RNAcentral lists this transfer RNA (71 nucleotides) under archaeon. RNAcentral's name for it is "tRNA-Ala". It matches the Rfam family "tRNA". From Rfam's summary of the family: Transfer RNA (tRNA) molecules are approximately 80 nucleotides in length. Their secondary structure includes four short double-helical elements and three loops (D, anti-codon, and T loops). The record is from RNAcentral. RNAcentral also lists the same sequence under 1 other name.
GGGCCUAUAGUUCAACGGCAGAACGCCGCUAUGGCAUGGCGGAGAUAUGGGUUCAAUUCCCAUUAGGUCCA